This 301-nucleotide ribosomal RNA is filed under the name uncultured bacterium. RNAcentral describes it as "partial 16S ribosomal RNA". It matches the Rfam family "Bacterial small subunit ribosomal RNA", at positions 509 to 809 of the family's 1533-position model. The record is from RNAcentral.
CAGCAGCCGCGGUAAUACAGAGGGUGCGAGCGUUAAUCGGAUUUACUGGGCGUAAAGCGUGCGUAGGCGGCUUCUUAAGUCGGAUGUGAAAUCCCUGAGCUUAACUUAGGAAUUGCAUUCGAUACUGGGAAGCUAGAGUAUGGGAGAGGAUGGUAGAAUUCCAGGUGUAGCGGUGAAAUGCGUAGAGAUCUGGAGGAAUACCGAUGGCGAAGACAGCCAUCUGGCCUAAUACUGACGCUGAGGUACGAAAGCAUGGGGAGCAAACAGGAUUAGAUACCCCGGUAGUCCCUGUCUCUUAUAA